CAAAUGUAUACUAGUAACAACAAUACGAAAGCUAAAUAACAAACCUGAAUGUGCUUCUUCAGAUUGGAUAGUGAAUUCUUGAAUGCUAAAAGUUUGUGUUUUUUGGGCAAGCACAGGACGCACUGCAUCCGCCACGAAUCAUUCUUAUAGCCAUCAACAACAAAAGGUUCUUUCAGGUCUGCGGUUUCAUCCUCACUUUCAUUCACAAUCACAACAAAUGCGGCGUUACUAUCCAUGUGCGUGGGUCGCGUGACUAGCUUGCGUCCUCUAGCUUCCUGUUUUUCAGCGCUGCUUGGCCCGGGUUUUUACGUUGUUUACGUCGUGUUGUCGCUCACCUUUGGAGAUUUUAAAAGCAACAACCUGAUUUUUUUAAAUGUAAGGAGUAGAAAGUACAGAUACUUGUGUUUUAAAAAUAAGGAGUAAAAGUUAAAAAAAAAAAAACUCAAGUAAAGUACAGAUACCUGAAAAAUCUUCUUAAGUACAGUAACGAAGUACAAGUACUUUGUUACUUCCCACCUCUGUACUUCACUGACGUUUUGGAGGAAACUUUUCACUUUUCAGAGCUGUGAUAUUUUAUUUUUGAGUUAAACAUUUUUUAUAACGGUUUCUACUCCGGAAAAACAACAACUUCCAGCUUAAAUGUGGAGCCCUCCCUAACUCCGUAAAUAUGUUAUGAUCUCUUUGGUCUGUUUGAAACCGCGCUUUAUAAAUAUAACACAACAUUUUGCCCACUCUGUUAUUAUCUUCUUCUCCGUCCAUUUCAGUCCAUGAAACUAUUAUUUAUGUUCUUUAUUUUGAGCACGUCCGCGGUCCAGUCACACUCAUGUACGGAACGACCCUGGAAACGGUUUUUCCGACCUGGCAACCCACUUCCCGCAAAGCACAUCCGGUUGUAAAGAUGUCGCCCUCCUUGUUCAUUUUUGGCGAGGCUAAAGACAACUUUGUGGCGUCUACGAAAAAUGCUCUGGCUGGCAAGAGCUGCAAACCUUUAACCAAUACUUUUAACCAGAUGAUCGGCAAGUAAGUGGCAUUUUCUUUACUUUACUGGGUGCACUGAUUUACGUACUCAGCUGGAACUUUUCUGUUAUGGAUUGAUAAUUCUACUUUGUCUGUUUUGGCUAAAUAUGUUACAUUUGUGUGCACCAGAGUGGAGAAUGGAUGAAUAAUUCAAUGUAAAGGAGGCAGGAAGUGUAACUGUAAACCAUUUUUUAUUAUUAUUAAU
Neogobius melanostomus (round goby) is the source of this 1222-nucleotide long non-coding RNA. Lineage: Eukaryota; Metazoa; Chordata; Actinopteri; Gobiiformes; Gobiidae. The record is from Ensembl.